AAUUUAUUUGAUUAAGAUUGAUUCUGUCUUUUUGAAUUGGCUUUUAAAUAAUAUUAAAUAUAAGUUUUUGCGUGUUAUUCAUUUAUCUAAAGGAUAAAUUUGUUUAUUUGUAGUUUUUUAUUUUGAGUAUUAUAUGAUUAUAGACUCAGUUAAUUUAUUUUAGAAUUGUUUAAGGUUGUGCCAGCAUACGCGGUUACACAUCCAAUUCAGGUUAAUUUUUUUUGGUUUUUAUUUAUUUUUAAUUUUGAAAUUUAAGGUUUUGUUAUAAAGUGAAAUUUUUAAUUUAUUUUAUUCUUUUUGGUUUAAGAUAAUAAGAAAUUUAGAAUUGAAACCAGGAUUAGAUACCCUGUUAUUCUAAAUGUAAAAUAUAACCAUAGUAUUAAUAGUUAUGAUCUUUAAAUUAAAAGGAUUUGGCGGUAAUUUAGUCUUUUCAGAGGAACCUGUUCUUUAAUCGAUGAUCCACGUUGGAUUUAACUUUAAUUUUUGGUUUGUAUAUCUCUGUCAUUGAAUGUUUUAUUAGAAUAAAUUUUCUUAAAUUAUUAAUUUAAUUAAUGUCAGGUCAAGGUGCAGCUAUAUAGAUCGGAAGAGCA
RNAcentral lists this ribosomal RNA (590 nucleotides) under Cebrenis supina. Its description in RNAcentral is "partial small subunit ribosomal RNA". Lineage: Eukaryota; Metazoa; Arthropoda; Insecta; Hemiptera; Coreidae. The record is from RNAcentral.